RNAcentral lists this unclassified non-coding RNA (250 nucleotides) under plant metagenome. RNAcentral describes it as "partial contains small subunit ribosomal RNA, internal transcribed spacer 1, and 5.8S ribosomal RNA". The record is from RNAcentral.
GUAGGUGAACCUGCGGAAGGAUCAUUACAACGUAUCCACGUACCAAACUCGUGCACUGUUUCCCUCUAGAGUAAACAACCCGUGGUUGAGGUCAAUGGGCGAUUGGUUUCCACUGAUGGAGUUCUCUCUCGGAGAACUGGAUAGCUUUCGUCCGCCGAAUGUGCUGGUCUCCGGACCGGUGCAGGAGGGACUUCGUUUGCUCUACUGCGGUUUUGCGACCGUCAGCGCUAGUUUUACCUUUAUUAACCCU